This 252-nucleotide ribosomal RNA is filed under the name uncultured Bacteroidales bacterium. Its description in RNAcentral is "partial 16S ribosomal RNA". It matches the Rfam family "Bacterial small subunit ribosomal RNA", at positions 524 to 776 of the family's 1533-position model. Lineage: Bacteria; Pseudomonadati; Bacteroidota; Bacteroidia; Bacteroidales. The record is from RNAcentral.
UACGGAGGAUGCGAGCGUUAUCCGGAUUUAUUGGGUUUAAAAGGUGCGUAGGCGGGCUUUUAAGUCAGCGGUAAAAAUUCGGGGCUCAACCCCGUCCGGCCGUUGAAACUGGGGGCCUUGAGUGGGCGAGAAGAAGGCGGAAUGUGUGGUGUAGCGGUGAAAUGCUUAGAUAUCACACAGAACACCGAUUGCGAAGGCAGCUUUCCAAGCUAUUACUGACGCUGAGGCACGAAAGCGUGGGGAGCGAACAGG